GUUAACUAACUGGUUUUGUUUGGUGGAAGACAUUUAAAGAAAUGGGACCACUUAGUAAUUUAUGGCUGGUAAAAAUAAUAUUUCCUUUCAGAAAAAAACCCCNAAACCCUGCUGAUCAGACCCUUUGAACACUGUGGUCAAGAUGUAAAGAAGAAUCAGACCAGAUAUGGUUAUUCUACUUUUGCCUAUUAAGAGGAAAAAAUACUUUCUUUGAUAGAGGAGGGAAUUAUUGAUACGUAUUCCUCUCUGCUUGCUAUUUUUUCCUGCUGCUUAUUCUGCCUUUUUCCCCGAGUGUGUGCACGCGUGUGCGUGUGUNGGUGAUUUCACCUUGAGUCUUUCUCAUCUGUAAGCAGCGCAAGUAUUCGUGCUGAAAGGCAACAUUGAGUCCAGCGACUGGUGCGUUUCUGGGGAAGGGGGCUGGCGCAGCUCCUGUCCUCCUCUGCCUUGGCCCCCCCACCCCACGGCUUUGUUCUGCUUAAGUCAGGCACACAGGCAUUGGGAAAUAUCUGUACGCCGGGGCGAGGAGCACAGAGGGACGAUUGUCACCCAGCAGGGCCCAGCUGGGACGUAACAAAAAUAGCUUUUUGCCUGUGCAACUGGCAACACCGUGCAGCUGCUGGGUGUACCAGCCGCCCUGCCCAGCGCGCUGGAACUGUGGCUGCCGUUGGCCCUGCUGGGGUUUCCUUCUGCAUCUGUGAAGGUCUGGCUGCAGAAGAGAACGUGAAUGUUGAACCCUGUGCAAANGAAGAAUUCCAUGCGGACGGCACUGGUGGCUGGACGCGGCAUCCUUUCUCCACGCUGUUGGAAUGAGGGAGGACUCGGCUGGCAAGUCGGAUGCUUGUUGUGGCUGCUGAGGCGGAGGAAAGGAAGUGAGCCAGCGGGCAGCAGAGGUAGAAUUAAAGGCAGGUGAGAUGCUGAAGGCUGCAGUUCUGUGCAAAUCUGGCACAACAGGGGUGCAGCCCAGUAACAUCUAGAAGAUUAGGGGUUUAUUCUGAAGUCAUCUGGAGGGUUAAUGAGGUUCUACUAUUAGACCCCAGUGUAAAAC
This 1045-nucleotide long non-coding RNA is filed under the name Salvator merianae (Argentine black and white tegu). Its description in RNAcentral is "lncRNA (ENSSMRG00000008860.1)". Lineage: Eukaryota; Metazoa; Chordata; Lepidosauria; Squamata; Teiidae. The record is from RNAcentral.